Molecule: long non-coding RNA, 203 nt
Filed under: Elaeis guineensis (African oil palm)
Lineage: Eukaryota; Viridiplantae; Streptophyta; Magnoliopsida; Arecales; Arecaceae
Description: long non-coding RNA (EGUI_LNC064486)
Source: RNAcentral
CUUUUGUAUUUUGUUUAGGUUAAUCAAGUCUUACUUAGUGUCUUUUGUAGGGAUCUAAAGAUAAUCUUGACUACGUUGGGGGGAGAAUCAAUUUUGAAAAAACUUCUGGAUCAGGUAACAUCUCUCCUUUUCUUUCUCUUUGCAUGCACCCUUCAUUUUUUCUACUCUAUUGAGGAUAAUGUCGAUUAAGUUGGGGGGAAAGA